GGACUCGUCGUGUGGUCAUGCCCAAGGGUUUUGCACGAUACGACGGGUCCAUCCUCGAGAUGAACGGGAUACAUUUCGGUGUGUUUCCGCGAACUCGUCAUUUACUGUGAGCAAAACAGAGUGUUCAAAGCAGGCUUACGCCGUUGAAUACAUUAGCAUGGAAUAAUAAAAUAGGACGGCAUGGUUCUAUUUUGUUGGUUUCUAGGAUCACCGUA
Molecule: ribosomal RNA, 215 nt
Filed under: uncultured fungus
Lineage: Eukaryota; Fungi
Description: partial small subunit ribosomal RNA
Source: RNAcentral